UACGUAGGGGGCAAGCGUUGUCCGGAAUCAUUGGGCGUAAAGAGCGCGUAGGCGGCCCUGUAAGUCCGCUGUGAAAGUCAAGGGCUCAACCCUUGGAUGCCGGUGGAUACUGCAGGGCUAGAGUCCGGAAGAGGCGAGUGGAAUUCCUGGUGUAGCGGUGAAAUGCGCAGAUAUCAGGAGGAACACCGGUGGCGAAGGCGGAUCUCUGGGCCGAUACUGACGCUGAGGAGCGAAAGCAUGGGGAGCGAACAGG
RNAcentral lists this ribosomal RNA (253 nucleotides) under uncultured bacterium. RNAcentral describes it as "partial 16S ribosomal RNA". It matches the Rfam family "Bacterial small subunit ribosomal RNA", at positions 524 to 776 of the family's 1533-position model. The record is from RNAcentral.